RNAcentral lists this ribosomal RNA (460 nucleotides) under uncultured bacterium. Its description in RNAcentral is "partial 16S ribosomal RNA". It matches the Rfam family "Bacterial small subunit ribosomal RNA", at positions 338 to 795 of the family's 1533-position model. The record is from RNAcentral.
CCUACGGGUGGCUGCAGUGAGGAAUAUUGGUCAAUGGGCGAAAGCCUGAACCAGCCAAGUCGCGUGAAGGAUGACGGCCCUACGGGUUGUAAACUUCUUUUGUCAGGGAGCAAUUGAGUCCACGUGUGGGCCGAGCGAGAGUACCUGAAGAAAAAGGAUCGGCUAACUCCGUGCCAGCAGCCGCGGUAAUACGGAGGGUGCGAGCGUUUUCCGGAUUUAUUGGGUUUAAGGGGGCCGGUGGCGGAAUAUCAAGUCAGCGGUAAAAAUUCGGGGCUCAACCCCGACGUGCCGUUGAAACUGGAGUUCUUGAGUGGGCGAGAGGUAUGCGGAAUGCGUGGUGUAGCGGUGAAAUGCAUAGAUAUCACGAAGAACUCCGAUUGCGAAGGCAGCAUACCGGCGCCCAACUGACGCUGAGGCACGAAAGCGUGGGUAUCGAACAGGAUUAGAUACCCUAGUAGUC